This 458-nucleotide ribosomal RNA is filed under the name uncultured Nitrosospira 16S-4. RNAcentral's name for it is "bacterial SSU rRNA". It matches the Rfam family "Bacterial small subunit ribosomal RNA", at positions 201 to 640 of the family's 1533-position model. The record is from RNAcentral. Lineage: Bacteria; Pseudomonadati; Pseudomonadota; Betaproteobacteria; Nitrosomonadales; Nitrosomonadaceae.
GAAAAGCAGGGGAUCGCAAGACCUUGCGCUUUAGGAGCGGCCGAUGUCUGAUUAGCUAGUUGGUGAGGUAAAGGCUUACCAAGGCGUCGAUCAGUAGCUGGUCUGAGAGGACGACCAGCCACACUGGGACUGAGACACGGCCCAGACUCCUACGGGAGGCAGCAGUGGGGAAUUUUGGACAAUGGGGGAAACCCUGAUCCAGCCAUGCCGCGUGAGUGAAGAAGGCCUUCGGGUUGUAAAGCUCUUUCAGCCGGAACGAAACGGUCACGGCUAAUACCUGUGAUCACUGACGGUACCGGAAGAAGAAGCACCGGCUAACUACGUGCCAGCAGCCGCGGUAAUACKUAGGGUGCGAGCGUUAAUCGGRAUUACUGGGCGUAAAGCGUGCGCAGGCGGUUUUGUAAGUCAGAUGUGAAAUCCCCGGGCUUAACCUGGGAACUGCGUUUGAAACUACAAGG